Molecule: ribosomal RNA, 253 nt
Filed under: uncultured bacterium
Lineage: Bacteria
Description: partial 16S ribosomal RNA
Rfam family: Bacterial small subunit ribosomal RNA
Source: RNAcentral
UACGUAGGGUGCAAGCGUUGUCCGGAAUUAUUGGGCGUAAAGAGCUCGUAGGCGGUUUGUCGCGUCUGCUGUGAAAACUCGGGGCUUAACCCCGGGCCUGCAGUGGGUACGGGCAGACUAGAGUGCGGUAGGGGAGACUGGAAUUCCUGGUGUAGCGGUGAAAUGCGUAGAUAUCGAGAGGAACACCUGCGGCGAAGGCGGGUUGCUGGGCUGACACUGACGCUGAUGCGCGAAAGCCAGGGGAGCGAACGGG